GUCAUGAACAUUACUGUUAAUGACAAGACUCCCAGAAACCCCACUACUGAAGACCUCUAAGAUUUAAAAAUGGGAUGGUCUAGCAUAUUGCUUUUAGGCAAUGUUCUAAUCCUAUGGUCCUAUAUUGCCAAAGGAGAAAAAGAAAUAACAUGCAGACCUCCUUCUAUUGAAAAUGGUGACUACUCACCUAAAAGGAUCAAACACAGAGCUGAUGAUGUAAUCAGAUACAGAUGUGAAAAUGGCUUCUCUCCUGCAACCCGGGAAACUGUUGUAAAAUGUACAAGUACUGGCUGGAUCCCUGCUCCAAGAUGUAGCUGGAAACCUUGUGAUUUUCCACGAAUCAAAAAUGGAGGUCUAAAUGAUGAAGAGAACCACAGAUUCUACAGCUACUACUUCCCAGCACUUAGAGGAAAGAAGCUCAGCUAUUAUUGCAAAAAAGGAUUUUUGACUCCUUCAGGGACAAACUGGGACUACAUUCGCUGCACUGCACAAGGGUGGGAGCCUGCUGUCCCAUGCCGCAGACAAUGAGGUUUGCAUUAUGUAGAAAAUGGGCAAUUUUUACAACAGACAGAAAACUACAUACAGGACCAGUAUGUAAGAGUCCAGUGUUACUCUGGCUACAGUAUUCCAAAUGGUUAGGACACAGUUACAUGUACAGAGACUGGUCUCCUCAACCCAAAUGCAUCCAUGUUAAAGCAUGUUCAAAGUCAGAUAUAGAAAUUGAGAAUGGUUUUUUUCUGAAUCUGAUCUUGCAUAUCAUCUAAAUAAAACAACACAGUAUAAGUGCAAACAGGGAUAUGUAACAGCAAAUGGGAAAACAUCAGGACCAAUUACUUGUCUACAAAAUGGAUGGUCAGC
RNA transcript from Alexandromys fortis (reed vole), 858 nucleotides. It is a transcript of the gene named complement factor H-like, with no coding region annotated. The record is from RefSeq and is a predicted model, not a curated record. Lineage: Eukaryota; Metazoa; Chordata; Mammalia; Rodentia; Cricetidae. The transcript has 5 exons.